UUGUGUGACAAAAGCCUCCUUGUCAAAGCCUGAUCUUGUCAGAUCUCAGAAACUAAGCAGGACUGGGCCUGGCGAGUACUUGGAUGGGAGACUGCUGGAAAUACCAGGUGCCACAGUGG
Molecule: ribosomal RNA, 119 nt
Filed under: Periophthalmus magnuspinnatus
Lineage: Eukaryota; Metazoa; Chordata; Actinopteri; Gobiiformes; Gobiidae
Source: RNAcentral